This 85-nucleotide transfer RNA is filed under the name Patescibacteria group bacterium. RNAcentral describes it as "tRNA-Leu". It matches the Rfam family "tRNA". From Rfam's summary of the family: Transfer RNA (tRNA) molecules are approximately 80 nucleotides in length. Their secondary structure includes four short double-helical elements and three loops (D, anti-codon, and T loops). Further hydrogen bonds mediate the characteristic L-shaped molecular structure. tRNAs have two regions of fundamental functional importance: the anti-codon, which is responsible for specific mRNA codon recognition, and the 3' end, to which the tRNAs corresponding amino acid is attached (by aminoacyl-tRNA synthetases). tRNAs cope with the degeneracy of the genetic code in two manners: having more than one tRNA (with a specific anti-codon) for a particular amino acid; and 'wobble' base-pairing, i.e. permitting non-standard base-pairing at the 3rd anti-codon position. RNAcentral also lists the same sequence under 1 other name. The record is from RNAcentral.
GGGCGAGUGGCGGAACUGGUAUACGCGUACGUCUCAGAAGCGUAUGGGGAAACCCUUGGGAGUUCGAGUCUCCCCUCGCCCACCA